Molecule: ribosomal RNA, 489 nt
Filed under: uncultured bacterium
Lineage: Bacteria
Description: bacterial SSU rRNA
Rfam family: Bacterial small subunit ribosomal RNA
Source: RNAcentral
AGAGUUUGAUCCUGGCUCAGAACGAACGCUGGCGGCAUGGAUUAGGCAUGCAAGUCGAACGGGAGCAGCAAUGCUCCAGUGGCGCAAGGGUGAGGAACACGUGAACAACCUGCCUUCGAGUUGGGGAUAGCUUCUGGAAACGGGAGAUAAUACCGAAUAACAUCUCCGGGUCGCAUGACCUGGAGAUCAAAGCAGCAAUGCGCUUGAAGAGGGGUUCGCGUCCCAUUAGCUAGUUGGUGAGGUAACGGCCCACCAAGGCGAUGAUGGGUAGCUGGUCUGAGAGGACGAUCAGCCACAUUGGGACUGAGAUACUGCCCAGACUCCUACGGGAGGCUGCAGUCGAGAAUUUUGGGCAAUGGACGAAAGUCUGAACCCCCAGCAAUGCCGCGUGCGGGAUGAAGGUCUUCGGAUUGUAAACCGCUGUCAAGAGGGACGAAAUUUGACGGUACCUCUGGAGGAAGCCACGGCUAACUACGUGCCAGCAGCCGC